This 445-nucleotide ribosomal RNA is filed under the name uncultured bacterium. Its description in RNAcentral is "bacterial SSU rRNA". It matches the Rfam family "Bacterial small subunit ribosomal RNA", at positions 355 to 822 of the family's 1533-position model. The record is from RNAcentral.
UGGGGAAUAUUGGACAAUGGGCGCAAGCCUGAUGCAGCAACGCCGCGUGCGGGAAGAAGGCCCUCGGGUUGUAAACCGCUUUCAGAAGGAACGAAACUGACGGUACUUUCAGAAGAAGGUGCGGCCAACUACGUGCCAGCAGCCGCGGUGACACGUAGGCACCAAGCGUUGUCCGGAUUUAUUGGGCGUAAAGAGCUCGUAGGCGGUUCAGUAAGUCGGGUGUGAAAACUUUGGGCUUAACCCAAAGCGUGCAUCCGAUACUGCUGUGACUUGAGUACGGUAGGGGAGCGGGGAAUUCCUAGUGUAGCGGUGAAAUGCGCAGAUAUUAGGAGGAACACCGGUGGCGAAGGCGCCGCUCUGGGCCGAAACUGACGCUGAGGAGCGAAAGCAUGGGUAGCAAACAGGAUUAGAUACCCUGGUAGUCCCUGAGCGGGCUGGCAAGGCG